GGGGAUUUAAUUUAAUUGGUUAGAAUAUUGUGUUUGCACCACAAAAAUCUGGUUUCGAGUACCAGAAUCUCCA
Non-coding RNA from Schizosaccharomyces pombe (fission yeast), 73 nucleotides. NCBI's taxonomy places the organism in Eukaryota, Fungi, Ascomycota, Schizosaccharomycetes, Schizosaccharomycetales, Schizosaccharomycetaceae. The record is from Rfam.